AUCGGUAGACUCUUCAUCUACAAUAGCAAAUACAAAUAAAAAAAUUUGAUUAUUUCCAUCAACAAUAGGUGCAACAUCAACUUCUCUCGAUAUUUUCCAUCCAAAAAUGUAGCAUCAAUAUUGAUUACUGAUCUACAGUAUUUAAAGCCUUCAAUCAAUAAUGUAAAGGCUCAAAAAAUAUGAUCAAAUGCAGCACAUGCUGGAUGAUCGAUAGGAGUGCUAAUAAAUUUUACUUAA
Molecule: long non-coding RNA, 237 nt
Filed under: Elaeis guineensis (African oil palm)
Lineage: Eukaryota; Viridiplantae; Streptophyta; Magnoliopsida; Arecales; Arecaceae
Description: long non-coding RNA (EGUI_LNC016908)
Source: RNAcentral